UUCCGUUGGUGAACCAGCGGAGGGAUCAUU
This 30-nucleotide ribosomal RNA is filed under the name Trichoderma sp. ACR-P1. RNAcentral's name for it is "partial 18S ribosomal RNA". Lineage: Eukaryota; Fungi; Ascomycota; Sordariomycetes; Hypocreales; Hypocreaceae. The record is from RNAcentral.